AGCGAACGCUGGCGGCAGGCUUAACACAUGCAAGUCGAGCGGGCGUAGCAAUACGUCAGCGGCAGACGGGUGAGUAACGCGUGGGAACGUACCUUUUGGUCCGGAACAACACAGGGAAACUUGUGCUAAUACCGGAUAAGCCCUUACGGGGAAAGAUUUAUCGCCGAAAGAUCGGCCCGCGUCUGAUUAGCUAGUUGGUGAGGUAACGGCUCACCAAGGCGACGAUCAGUAGCUGGUCUGAGAGGAUGAUCAGCCACAUUGGGACUGAGACACGGCCCAAACUCCUACGGGAGGCAGCAGUGGGGAAUAUUGGACAAUGGGCGCAAGCCUGAUCCAGCCAUGCCGCGUGAGUGAUGAAGGCCCUAGGGUUGUAAAGCUCUUUUGUGCGGGAAGAUAAUGACGGUACCGCAAGAAUAAGCCCC
This 422-nucleotide ribosomal RNA is filed under the name uncultured bacterium. Its description in RNAcentral is "bacterial SSU rRNA". It matches the Rfam family "Bacterial small subunit ribosomal RNA", at positions 29 to 494 of the family's 1533-position model. The record is from RNAcentral.